UACUGCUAUCAGUGUUCGAUUAAGCCAUGCGAGUUAAAUGUUCUUCGUGAACAUGGCGUACUGCUCAGUAACACGUGGAUAACCUGCCCUAAGGUCCGGCAUAACCCCGGGAAACUGGGGAUAAUACCGGAUAAACCAUAGAUACUGGAAUGUUCUGUGGUUAAAAGUUCCGGCGCCUUAGGAUGGAUCUGCGGCCUAUCAGGUAGUAGUGGGUGUAAAGUACCUACUAGCCGACGACGGGUACGGGUUGUGAGAGCAAGAGCCCGGAGAUGGAUUCUGAGACAUGAAUCCAGGCCCUACGGGGCGCAGCAGGCGCGAAAUCUUUACAAUGCGGGAAACCGCGAUAAGGGGACACUGAGUGCCAGCAUAUUAUGCUGGCUGUCCACCUGUAUAAAUCACAGGUGUUAGCAAGGGCCGGGCAAGACCGGUGCCAGCCGCCGCGGUAACACCGGCGGCCCGAGUGGUAGCCACUAUUAUUGGGUCUAAAGGGUCCGUAGCCGGUUUGAUCAGUCUUCCGGGAAAUCUGACAGCUCAACUG
RNAcentral lists this ribosomal RNA (538 nucleotides) under uncultured archaeon. RNAcentral's name for it is "bacterial SSU rRNA". It matches the Rfam family "Archaeal small subunit ribosomal RNA", at positions 25 to 565 of the family's 1478-position model. The record is from RNAcentral.